GUGGGGAAUAUUGCACAAUGGGGGAAACCCUGAUGCAGCCAUGCCGCGUGUGUGAAGAAGGCCUUCGGGUUGUAAAGCACUUUCAGUAGGGAGGAAAGGGUGAGUCUUAAUACGGCUCAUCUGUGACGUUACCUACAGAAGAAGGACCGGCUAACUCCGUGCCAGCAGCCGCGGUAAUACGGAGGGUCCGAGCGUUAAUCGGAAUUACUGGGCGUAAAGCGUGCGCAGGCGGUUUGUUAAGCGAGAUGUGAAAGCCCUGGGCUCAACCUAGGAAUAGCAUUUCGAACUGGCGAACUAGAGUCUUGUAGAGGGGGGUAGAAUUCCAGGUGUAGCGGUGAAAUGCGUAGAGAUCUGGAGGAAUACCGGUGGCGAAGGCGGCCCCCUGGACAAAGACUGACGCUCAUGCACGAAAGCGUGGGGAGCAA
Molecule: ribosomal RNA, 425 nt
Filed under: uncultured Shewanella sp.
Lineage: Bacteria; Pseudomonadati; Pseudomonadota; Gammaproteobacteria; Alteromonadales; Shewanellaceae
Description: bacterial SSU rRNA
Rfam family: Bacterial small subunit ribosomal RNA
Source: RNAcentral